RNAcentral lists this non-coding RNA (206 nucleotides) under bovine gut metagenome. RNAcentral's name for it is "Lysine riboswitch". It matches the Rfam family "Lysine riboswitch aptamer". Rfam says of the family: Riboswitches are metabolite binding domains within certain messenger RNAs that serve as precision sensors for their corresponding targets. Allosteric rearrangement of mRNA structure is mediated by ligand binding, and this results in modulation of gene expression. This family includes riboswitches that sense lysine in a number of genes involved in lysine metabolism, including lysC. The record is from RNAcentral.
UUAAGUAGAGGCGCUUUCUGUAUCAGUACAUGUUCAUUUAUAUCCGGUAUGGUACAGGGUCGGCCCCAGGGCCGUAUAUCCUGACAGGGGGCAUGGAAAGGGCAGCGAGCCGAAGCUUUACGGACGACCGGAAGCCGUAUUGCUGGGUAUGCAGUUAAUAGCUGCAUAACUGUCAUCAUAUUGAUGGUAUGAUGGAGUGCUGCUUG